GUGGGCACUCUCUCCCAUGAUGCUGUUAAUCAUUUCCUCUGACAUGCCAGGAACUGGGCUAGCCUGUAGAGAAACACAUGACAAAAACAAAACAAUCCCUGCUCUCAAGAAUCUCCUAAUGGGGCAAGAACCUAUAAAUGUAUGAGUGUAUACAAAGUACAUACAGAGCAGAUAAUAAGGUAACCUGGAGAGACAUGAGGUGUCCGGAGGAUCCUGUACCCCUAUACCAGCACCCUAAGGAAUAGGACCGCUGAGCCAACUCUUGAAGGAAAGCAUGGAUUCCAAGAGGCAAAAAUGAGAAGUCAUCUUCCACACGAAUAAGACAAUUGAUACAAAGACAUGGAGGUGGGAGAUAGAAUCUGUGGAAAAUUUCAAAAAGCAUUUUCAUUAUGUUGGAUAUCACUGAAAAGUACCAGCUUAUGUUCCUUGGAGGGAAGAAUAUGUGCUCCAACUUUCCACCAACAUAAGGGAAAUCAGGAAAUGGAAAAUAAAGCUGAUCACUUAACUUGAGUGUAAUU
This 518-nucleotide long non-coding RNA is filed under the name Monodelphis domestica (gray short-tailed opossum). RNAcentral describes it as "lncRNA (ENSMODG00000034481.2)". Lineage: Eukaryota; Metazoa; Chordata; Mammalia; Didelphimorphia; Didelphidae. The record is from RNAcentral.